Oryctolagus cuniculus (rabbit) is the source of this 338-nucleotide non-coding RNA. NCBI's taxonomy places the organism in Eukaryota, Metazoa, Chordata, Mammalia, Lagomorpha, Leporidae. The record is from RefSeq and is a predicted model, not a curated record.
CAGCCGCGUGCAGCGUGUGAGUCCCUUCGUCACCGCAGCCCUCAAACCUCGCGGAGCCAGUGGACCCCUGUGCAGAACUCGCAAUCCCAGCGACUUCUCCUAUCGAGGCUCUCCUCUGCUCUCCAUCAGCCAGAACGCCGGGAAGCCAAGCCCACGGCGGCCCUGAUAAGACACCAAAACUGUGACAGAUCAACCCACACCCCCGACUCAGUUUCCCCAUCUAGGAGAGGGAUAAUUAUAUCUACCAGCCCAUAUCUAUCAUGAGGAUAAAUGGCCUGCAUUACGCCAAGUGAUCUUAAAACAGGAAGGCUGGUGGAUUAAAUACAGAUUUACAAAGA